Molecule: transfer RNA, 65 nt
Filed under: Dipodomys ordii (Ord's kangaroo rat)
Lineage: Eukaryota; Metazoa; Chordata; Mammalia; Rodentia; Heteromyidae
Rfam family: tRNA
About the family: Transfer RNA (tRNA) molecules are approximately 80 nucleotides in length. Their secondary structure includes four short double-helical elements and three loops (D, anti-codon, and T loops). Further hydrogen bonds mediate the characteristic L-shaped molecular structure. tRNAs have two regions of fundamental functional importance: the anti-codon, which is responsible for specific mRNA codon recognition, and the 3' end, to which the tRNAs corresponding amino acid is attached (by aminoacyl-tRNA synthetases). tRNAs cope with the degeneracy of the genetic code in two manners: having more than one tRNA (with a specific anti-codon) for a particular amino acid; and 'wobble' base-pairing, i.e. permitting non-standard base-pairing at the 3rd anti-codon position.
Source: Rfam by way of RNAcentral
GGUGGCUCAGUGGUAGAGUGCUUGCCUCGCAUGCAUGAGUACCUGGGUUCGAUUCCUCAGCACCA